UGCUAGUUGUACGAGCUUACACUCGUAGCAAAUAGCUCCGUAACACGUGGCCAAACUACCCUACAGAGAACGAUAACCUCGGGAAACUGAGGCUAAUAGUUCAUACCCGUCUCAGACUGGAAUGUCGAGACGCGCAAACGCUCCGGCGCUGUAGGACGUGGCUGCGGCCGAUUAGGUAGACGGUGGGGUAACGGCCCACCGUGCCGAUAAUCGGUACGGGUUGUGAGAGCAAGAACCCGGAGACGGAAUCUGAGACAAGAUUCCGGGCCCUACGGGGCGCAGCAGGCGCGAAACCUUUACACUGCACGCAAGUGCGAUAAGGGGACCCCGAGUGCGAGGGCAUACAGUCCUCGCUUUUCACCACCGUAAGGUGGUGGUGGAAUAAGAGCUGGGCAAGACCGGUGCCAGCCGCCGCGGUAAUACCGGCAGCUCGAGUGAUGGCCGAUUUUAUUGGGCCUAAAGCGUCCGUAGCCGGCCACACAAGUCCAUCGGGAAAUCCGCCAGCCUAACUGGCGGGCGUCCGGUGGGUACUGUGUGGCUUGGGACCGGAAGACCCAACAGGUACG
RNAcentral lists this ribosomal RNA (566 nucleotides) under uncultured Haloplanus sp. RNAcentral's name for it is "bacterial SSU rRNA". It matches the Rfam family "Archaeal small subunit ribosomal RNA", at positions 52 to 619 of the family's 1478-position model. The record is from RNAcentral. Lineage: Archaea; Methanobacteriati; Methanobacteriota; Halobacteria; Halobacteriales; Haloferacaceae.